Lepidothrix coronata (blue-crowned manakin) is the source of this 896-nucleotide RNA transcript. It is a transcript of the gene named nucleoside-triphosphatase, cancer-related, with no coding region annotated. Lineage: Eukaryota; Metazoa; Chordata; Aves; Passeriformes; Pipridae. The transcript has 6 exons. The record is from RefSeq and is a predicted model, not a curated record.
GCAGCGCCGGGCGGGGGCGAGGGCGGAGCGCGGCCCCGCCAUGUCCAGGCACGUGUUUCUCACAGGACCCCCAGGGGUUGGAAAGACUACUUUGAUCCAGAAAGUCACUCAAGCUCUAAAAUCCUCAGGCAUUCCCAUUGAUGGAUUUUACACAGAGGAAGUUAGAGAAGGUGGCAGGAGAACAGGAUUUGAUGUUGUCACUUUGUCUGGAAACCGAGGACCUUUAUCUAGAGUCAGUUCUAAUUCUACUUCAAGAUGUGAAUACCGGGUUGGACAAUAUGUUGUAGACCUUGUUUCCUUUGAGCGGUUGGUUCUACCUUUGCUAAGAAAUGUAAGCCAUGGCGGUGAUACAGAGAGAAGAAUUUGUGUCAUUGAUGAGAUUGGUAAAAUGGAACUCUUCAGCCAGGCUUUUAUUCAAGCUGUUCGUCAAACGUUGGCUGGCUCAGGGACUGUGGUGCUUGGAACUAUUCCAAUACCUAAGGGAAAGCCACUGGAUCUUGUUGAAGAAAUAAGAAGUAGGAAAGAUGUUAAAGUGUUCAAUGUUAGUAAGGAAAACAGAAACAGCAUUUUGCAAGACAUCUUGGCAGCUGUGGAAUCCUGCAGAAAAUGAAGACCUUUUCUUUCCUGUAAACACUAAAGCUUUUAUUUCAACAAAACAUUUUGCGGAUGUUUUGGAGUCUGUCUUUCCUGCUUUAGGCCCUGGAGGCUUUACUAGAGCCUUCAGGGUAGCAAGGAUUUACAAGAACCUGAGAUGAAGUGGCACUGUGUGUUUUUUAGGAUAUCUUCCAACCCUACCCAUGCGAAGGCCAUUAGCUGAAGAGCAUCUGCCCUGUAGUAUUCUUGUGUAGAAGUUAGAAAAAUAAACAUUUGAAGGUUGCUUAUUACAUUUGAAAGAA